This 319-nucleotide ribosomal RNA is filed under the name uncultured eukaryote. RNAcentral describes it as "partial 18S ribosomal RNA". It matches the Rfam family "Eukaryotic small subunit ribosomal RNA", at positions 1470 to 1796 of the family's 1831-position model. The record is from RNAcentral.
CCCUUAGAUGUUCUGGGCAGCACACGCGCUACAAUGGUCUUCGCAAACGGAUGCAUUCUCGAAGGAGAAUGCCAAUCUUGGAAUCUAUGCCUUGGUCGGGACAGUUGCUUGCAAUUUUUCGACUCGAACCAGGAAUUCCUUGUAAUCGUGAUUCAUCACAUCACGAUGAAUACGUCCCUGCCCUUUGUACACACCGCCCGUCGCUCCUACCGAUCGAAGAGUUAGGUGAAUUGUUUUGAUCGAUAAGAUUUGACUAUGGUCAACUCUCGUUGUGAAAUUCUGUGAAUCUGACUGUUUAGAGGAAGGUGAAGUCGUAACA